GUGGGGAAUCUUAGACAAUGGGGGAAACCCUGAUCUAGCCAUGCCGCGUGAGCGAUGAAGGCCUUAGGGUUGUAAAGCUCUUUCAGAUGGGAAGAUAAUGACGGUACCAUCAGAAGAAGCCCCGGCUAACUCCGUGCCAGCAGCCGCGGUAAUACGGAGGGGGCUAGCGUUGUUCGGAAUUACUGGGCGUAAAGCGCACGUAGGCGGACCAGAAAGUCAGAGGUGAAAUCCCAGGGCUCAACCUUGGAACUGCCUUCAAAACUCCUGGUCUGGAGUUCGAGAGAGGUGAGUGGAAUUCCGAGUGUAGAGGUGAAAUUCGUAGAUAUUCGGAGGAACACCAGUGGCGAAGGCGGCUCACUGGCUCGAUACUGACGCUGAGGUGCGAAAGCGUGGGGAGCAAACAGGAUUAGAAACCCUGGUAGUCC
This 425-nucleotide ribosomal RNA is filed under the name uncultured bacterium. Its description in RNAcentral is "partial 16S ribosomal RNA". It matches the Rfam family "Bacterial small subunit ribosomal RNA", at positions 354 to 796 of the family's 1533-position model. The record is from RNAcentral.